Molecule: long non-coding RNA, 358 nt
Organism: Pyrus x bretschneideri (Chinese white pear)
Lineage: Eukaryota; Viridiplantae; Streptophyta; Magnoliopsida; Rosales; Rosaceae
Exons: 3
Source: RefSeq, a predicted model, not a curated record
AGUUGUGAACCUGUGUGCCAAUUUUGCCAAUUUUGUAGACAAGCAGAAACUUUGGCACUCGCCUCUGUCCUAUCCUCCUCUCGCCGCCGUCUCCCUUCUCUCACCUCCGUCGUCUUACUCCUCCUUUCUCUGUCUCUGGAAUCCUAUCGUCAUCUUCCUCGCAUGCAAGGCUCUGGCCCUUUCAAUUGUAACCAAAACGUGUUUCAGUUCUGAGGAAGAGCAAGAAAAAGGAAGAACCAGUAUUAGAAGAUCUUCCCAAAGAGUACUAUGAUGAUUCUAAGCCAUGAAGGAUUUGAUAAACCCACAAUUGAUAACAAUGUGCAGCGGCACCAACGGUUUUGGACAAGGAACAAAUAAG